CGUGCAUAACACAUGCAAGUCGAACGAUGAACCUUAUUGAUUCUUCGGAAUGAAAAUAAGUGGAUUAGUGGCGAACGGGUGAGUAACACGUGAGUAACCUGCCUUACACAAGGGGAUAGCCUUUGGAAACGAAGAAUAAUACCCUAUAAAGUCAAAAUAUCGCAUGAUAAAGUGACCAAAGAUUUAUCGGUGUAAGAUGGACUUGCGUCUGAUUAGCUAGUUGGUGAGAUAAAAGCCCACCAAGGCGACGAUCAGUAGCCGGCUUGAGAGAGUGUACGGCCACAUUGGGACUGAGACACGGCCCAAACUCCUACGGGAGGCAGCAGUGGGGAAUUUUGCACAAUGGGGGAAACCCUGAUGCAGCGACGCCGCGUGAUUUAGAAGGCCUUCGGGUUGUAAAAAUCUUUUUUAUGGGAUGAAAAUGACAGUACCAUAAGAAUAAGGUCCGGCUAAAUACGUGCCAGCAGCCGCGGUAAUACGUAUGGACCGAGCGUUGUCCGGAAUCAUUGGGCGUAAAGGGUACGUAGGCGGCCUAGUAAGUUAGAAGUGAAAUAAUAUAGCUCAACUAUAUAAAGCUUUUAAAACUGUUAGGCUUGAGAGAUGAAAGGGAAAGUGGAAUUCCUAGUGUAGCGGUGAAAUGCGCAGAUAUUAGGAAGAAUA
Molecule: ribosomal RNA, 660 nt
Filed under: uncultured Clostridium sp.
Lineage: Bacteria; Bacillati; Bacillota; Clostridia; Eubacteriales; Clostridiaceae
Description: bacterial SSU rRNA
Rfam family: Bacterial small subunit ribosomal RNA
Source: RNAcentral